RNAcentral lists this ribosomal RNA (370 nucleotides) under uncultured prokaryote. RNAcentral's name for it is "bacterial SSU rRNA". It matches the Rfam family "Bacterial small subunit ribosomal RNA", at positions 524 to 896 of the family's 1533-position model. The record is from RNAcentral.
UACGGAGGGUGCAAGCGUUAUCCGGAAUCACUGGGUUUAAAGGGUGCGUAGGCGGCCAGAUAAGUCAGAGGUGAAAGUUUCCGGCUCAACCGGGAGAUUGCCUUUGAUACUGUUUGGCUUGAAUCAGAUUGAGGUUGGCGGAAUGUGACAUGUAGCGGUGAAAUGCAUAGAUAUGUCAUAGAACAUCGAUUGCGAAGGCAGCUGGCUGGAUCUGUAUUGACGCUGAGGCACGAAAGCGUGGGGAGCAAACAGGAUUAGAUACCCUGGUAGUCCACGCCCUAAACGAUGUUUACUCGACAUGGGAUUUUCGGAUUCUGUGUCCAAGCGAAAGCGUUAAGUAAACCACCUGGGGAGUACGUUCGCAAGAAUG